Molecule: ribosomal RNA, 495 nt
Filed under: uncultured bacterium
Lineage: Bacteria
Description: bacterial SSU rRNA
Rfam family: Bacterial small subunit ribosomal RNA
Source: RNAcentral
AGUGAACGCUGGCGGCAGGCCUAAUACAUGCAAGUCGAACGGCAGCACAGCAGAGCUUGCUCUGUGGGUGGCGAGUGGCGGACGGGUGAGGAAUACAUGGGAAUCUGCCCAGUCGUGGGGGAUAACGUAUGGAAACGUACGCUAAUACCGCAUGCGCCCUAAGGGGGAAAGCCGGGGACCGCAAGGCCUGGCGCGAUUGGAUGAGCCCAUGUUCGAUUAGCUAGUUGGCGGGGUAAAGGCCCACCAAGGCGACGAUCGAUAGCUGGUCUGAGAGGAUGAUCAGCCACACUGGAACUGAGACACGGUCCAGACUCCUACGGGAGGCAGCAGUAGGGAAUAUUGGACAAUGGGGGCAACCCUGAUCCAGCCAUGCCGCGCGAGUGAAGAAGGCCCUCGGGUUGUAAAGCUCUUUUGUCCGGAAAGAAAAGCAAUCGGUUAAUACCCGGGUGUUCUGACGGUACCGGAAGAAUAAGCACCGGCUAACUUCGUGCCAGC